UACGAAGGGGGCUAGCGUUGUUCGGAAUUACUGGGCGUAAAGCGCACGUAGGCGGGUUGUUAAGUCAGGGGUGAAAUCCUGGAGCUCAACUCCAGAACUGCCUUUGAUACUGGCAACCUAGAGACUGGAAGAGGUUAGUGAAAUUCCCAGUGUAGAGGUGAAAUUCGUAGAUAUUGGGAAGAACACCAGUGGCGAAGGCGGCUAACUGGUCCAGCACUGACGCUGAGGUGCGAAAGCGUGGGGAGCAAACAGG
This 253-nucleotide ribosomal RNA is filed under the name uncultured bacterium. Its description in RNAcentral is "partial 16S ribosomal RNA". It matches the Rfam family "Bacterial small subunit ribosomal RNA", at positions 524 to 776 of the family's 1533-position model. The record is from RNAcentral.